GACGAACGCUGGCGGCGUGCUUAACACAUGCAAGUCGAACGGAAACGCCUUCUUUCCCUGCUGGUUUGCGGGUACUCUAGUGGCGAAGGGGGGAGUAACACGUGAGUGAUCUGCCCGCAGCUUGUGUAGAAGCCUGGGAUACUCUGUCUAAUUCUCGAUAGUACUGGUGGGUGGUGCCGGUGUUGGAAAACGAUGUGCUAGUGGUUGGGGAUGAGCGCGCGGCUUGUGAGCUGGUUGGUGGGGUAAUGGACUACCAAUGCGGCGACGGGUAGCCAGAGUGAGAGGGGGGACGGCGACAUUGGGACUGGGAUACGGCCCAGACUGGUACGGGAGGCAGCAGUGUGGAAUAAUGGACAAUGGGCGGAAGCCUGAUGAAGCGACGCAGCGUGGGGGAUGACGGGCUUCGGGUUGUAAACUGCUUUGGAAGGCGAGGAAGCCACCUGGUUGGAAGGGUGGUGACGGUAGUGGUAGAAGAAGCACCGGCUAACUACGUG
RNAcentral lists this ribosomal RNA (494 nucleotides) under uncultured bacterium. Its description in RNAcentral is "partial 16S ribosomal RNA". It matches the Rfam family "Bacterial small subunit ribosomal RNA", at positions 28 to 507 of the family's 1533-position model. The record is from RNAcentral.